Calidris pugnax (ruff) is the source of this 586-nucleotide long non-coding RNA. RefSeq lists it as uncharacterized. NCBI's taxonomy places the organism in Eukaryota, Metazoa, Chordata, Aves, Charadriiformes, Scolopacidae. The record is from RefSeq and is a predicted model, not a curated record. The transcript has 2 exons.
UGCUGGCCGCCUUCGCCGCCGGGGUGCUGGUGGGCUGGCAGGCCGGCCGCGCCCGCCGCCGCUUCCUCCGCUGGCGCCAGCGCCGUCUCCAGCGCCGCCUGGACGCCGCCCGGGAGCAGCUGGAAGCGGCCUGAGCUCAGCAGAACCCGGUUGACCCCCACCCCGCGCCGGUGGAAACCAGGCGGACACGGCCAGCUUCCGUGGAACGGGAGGGCAUGUCGUCUGUCCUUCAGAAGAUCUGCAUCAGACCGACCUGAGGAAACGCCGAGGAACAACGAUUCCAAAUGAAUUUCCUCGUUUUGGCUGUAUUUGUCUGGCUUGAAGUUUGCUGCCGAGGCCCACUGGCCAAGAAGCGCUGCUGACACAUUAAACUCGCAAAAACCAUGACACAGUGUUCCUAGAUGUGCUUAUUUCUCCGAUCAGCGAAAACAUGCCUUACAGGCACCUGUAAUGAGCGGCGAAUCUCAUUAGGAAAAUGUGCCCGUGAAAAAGACUGGUGGGGACAAUUAAGCGGUGCAAUAGCUGCAUGUGUCGGUAGGAUGAAUGACAAAAUUAAAUGAGGGAUGCUUGCGCUUUGGAUUCUGAA